UACGAAGGGGGCUAGCGUUGUUCGGAAUUACUGGGCGUAAAGCGUGCGCAGGCGGCUUCUCAAGUCAGGGGGGAAAGCCCAGAGCUCAACUCUGGAAUUGCCUUUGAGACUGAGAGGCUUGAGUGCGGGAGAGGUGAGUGGAAUUCCCAGUGUAGAGGUGAAAUUCGUAGAUAUUGGGAAGAACACCGGUGGCGAAGGCGGCUCACUGGCCCGUAACUGACGCUCAGGCACGACAGCGUGGGGAUCAAACAGG
RNAcentral lists this ribosomal RNA (253 nucleotides) under uncultured bacterium. RNAcentral describes it as "partial 16S ribosomal RNA". It matches the Rfam family "Bacterial small subunit ribosomal RNA", at positions 524 to 776 of the family's 1533-position model. The record is from RNAcentral.